This 668-nucleotide long non-coding RNA is filed under the name Bos taurus (domestic cattle). RNAcentral's name for it is "long non-coding RNA NONBTAT018039". The record is from RNAcentral. Lineage: Eukaryota; Metazoa; Chordata; Mammalia; Artiodactyla; Bovidae.
UUUCUUUCCCCACCAAGUAUGCUUUUCUUUCUGCACAAUGCUUAGAAUGUAGAGCUUAGAAUAUAAUUGCUGAAUGAAUGAAGGUUGUCAGUUUAAGUAAGAAGAGUCUAUCAGCUUAAACUGAAUGUAAGACAAACUUUUCCCUCAGAUUAUGGUGGUACAUGAUAGAACUAAGGGCAAACUUUUAGGAUCGUUUACCAUUUUAUAUCUAUGCCACUGAGUUGUUCCCCUUCUUGCUGCCUUUACUGUAAGCAAGCAAAGAACACUAUAACUAAACCCUUUCUGGCUACACUGUGUUAACUUUAUCUCUGAUAAUUCUUGUAGUUUAGUCAUUUUUUUUUUCCUUAGAAAAUCUGGCUUCUUGUCCACCUGAUCAAAUUAUAUCAAGUAACACUUUGUCUCCUGACCUGAUUUUCUGCCUUGUUACACAAUGAACCAAAGAAAGUUGGUUGAUUAUACAUUCCUGUUUGGAAUCCCUGAUAAUGUCAACCUUUCAGGUCUGGAAUGAAGGAACAAAAUGAUGAAGGUUGUGAAUGUUACUAUUCUUAGGGAAUAAGACCAUAAAUAAAGGCAGUUCUAAUGGCCUGGAACUCAAUCACAGCUCUCCAAAUAUUUAAAUUGUAUAGGUAUCUUUGUAUAAUACUAAAAAACUGUGGCCUGAUGGUGGA